GAGGGAGGGAAGAACUACAAGAAUGAAUUGCAUAUACCUAUGAAAUUGUCAAAAAAACUAACAAUAAAAAAAAAAAGACUGGUAUAUUGUCUGCACUGGCCAAACAUUGUUAUGGUGUGUAUCAAGAGAGAUUAGUAUACAGAAAUAUUAUCAAGUAAAGUAAUUUGGCUUUUCUGUGAUGUCUAAACACAUCCCUUCUCAGUCUUCCCUGGAUUGGAACUCAUUAGACAUCUAUCUGACCUGAACAUCCAAGUAUUGAUGAGCCAUGAUAAUAUGACAUAAAGCUACAUCCUUCUUAGAAUUAAUGCCAACUUGAACUUUAAAAGGCAUUACUGGUUUGAUGUUCUCCUCAUCUCACUGUGACUGAAAAUAAAAACAGAAGAAAGCUAGUCAUUUAGAUGCAUAGGUAGGAGUCUCUCACCUCUGGUUCUAGUCUGAGCCCUUAGGUAUUACAGCAUCUGGGAAUUAUAAGCUAGGCACUGUCUUUAAGUUGCUCAAUGGGAUUUAUCUGAAGAAAGUGUAUGUCUAUAUACAUAUAUAUGAUUCACUUAUAUACUUUUAUACACAUAUUUACUUAUAUAUGCAUAUGUACUUAUAUAUACUUACACACACACACACAUCUAGUAACGACUUAAAGAGUAUCUAAUAGUAUGGGACAUGUGCCUGCAUGCUGUGAUGUGGACUUAAAGGAUGCCUGAUUAUUGCAGAUGUGGAAACAGCAGCGAAGAAAUGAGUUCUUUUUAGGAACUAUGGUCCUUCUUGUCAAAAUAGACUGCUAGAUGCCACCUCCUGUUCUCUUCAGUGGGAUUUUUUUCAAAGAUAAUGCUUGCAACCAAAUGAGCUCAUAUACCCUUAUGUCCUUUGUGCUUCCCUAUAUGAAUAAUUUUAAGAAAACACAGUCAAGAAGUUGACAACUUUACACCCAUCAUUCUGGUAAUUUCUGUCAUGAAUUUCGAUUACUAGUUUCUAUUCUCACUCUCUGGGUUUUUAGUCAUUAGGAUUUUUUUUGUCAUUUUGUUUUGUUUUGUUGCAUGUGUGUGUAUGAGUGUGUGUAUGCAUAUAUGUAUGUGUACAUGUGUGUGUAUGUAUAUAUGUUGUGUGUAUGCAUGUGUGUAUGUAUGUAUGUGUCUGUAUUCGUGUGUGUGUGUGUAUGAAGGGGAUGUAUUCAUGUGAGUGCAGGUAUCCAUGAAAGGCUAGAAACAUCAGAUCCUCUAGAGCUGGAUUUAUAAGCAGUUUUAAUUCAUCCAAUGUGAAUCCCUACAAAGUUUUUGAGCUAAGACAGUUUCCAAGCUAAAACACACAAAAUUAUUUUAUAAAGAAAAUAAAAGUUAGGCUGGCAGCAAACAAAUGAGUUGUGGGCCAGUUGUGGGCGUUCUGACUGGGGAAGGGGCAUAGAGCUCCCAGGGCAUUCAGAAAUGAAGUCGGCAUAGCGAAUAGGUCAUAGAGAGAUUCAGGUGCACAUGCUAGCCUUACAGUGCCAUGAGACGCAUUCUCUGUGGGUCUGCACGUUUCUCUCAUUUCUGUGGCAGUGACACUUCAGUAGGUUUCCCAAUAGCAAUCAUAACAGGCACAAUGAUGUGCUCUCUGGAGUGUGUUCUCCCUUUCUGACAACAUAGCUGAUUUUCCCUAAUGAGCCUUUUGUUGUCAAUGUGGCUUUUUACUAGCUAUUGCUGAACUACUGUUAGGUCUUUGUGUCCUCGGAUUAUGUCCUUAAUGUAUUGCUGCAUUUCUUUGCCUCAGUGCAAACAAUUUCAAGAGACUUGACUACCUGGCAAAGCCUUUAUGUGAAUGGGUAGCAAAUGCUUUUAUGGGAUGGAGGCUUCCUUUACUGAGAGAUUAAUGAAAAAAUAAGAUUUUUUUUUUUAAUUAAAUGCUGGGACUUGAACCCAAAGCCUUGCAUGUGCAAGUGGGGCUGUGCCUAUAAAAGGAGAAUUGUAUUUUUCUCUUCCUUUUGAUGGGUUUUGUUUUGUUUUGUGCUUGUCUUGUUAAAGAGAAAUGCUACCUCUAGAUUACUGAAAACACUCAAGGAAGAAGUGAAGAUAUCUUCGUAUACGAUGAGGGAAGGAAUCAAUCUCCACCCUGAUUCCUGAUGUGGUUUGAAAUAAUAAAGGAUUCAAAUAUUUUGAAAUAAUAGCAUUUACAAAAAUUAGUAAAGCACAAGAAAAAGAAAGUAAUCAAAGUUAUUUGUUUAUAGUCAAGUUUAAAUUGCCUAAUGGAAGAAUGUUUCCAUUGUAAGUCUUAACAUAUAUUUAUUUGACAUAUUGUCAUCAUUUUCAUAGGCACUAUCAUUUUUUUAGAAUAAUGAAAUAUGAAAAACUGUAAUCAAUUAUUUUACAAGAGGAAAUGAUAAUUUCCCAAAUUAGAAAGUAUUAUACAUACACGAUUGAACCAAUUUUAAAGUGGCACAUCACAGUAAGCUUAUGAGAUAUACAUGUGCAGUUUGCUGGCAAUAUGAGCUCCUGUAUAAAAGCAAACAUUUGUUUUGAGCUAUGUAUUGUUUGGAACACCUGACCUUCUUGAGGCAAUAAAUCACUCCCUCUUUCCCACUUACACUCAGCAGCAGUGAGAAAGUAAAAUGAAUGGAAAUCGACUACCAUUGUCAUUCCUGCUACAGUCUGCUAUUUUGUCCAAUGUAGUCCUUACCUUCAAGUAUGUAGACUGAAAAACUGCAUCAUGGGAUAUCUCAUAAGCUGACUGUGAUGCUCCACUUAAAAACCAUCCAAAAACGUAUACACCCUGCAGAAAUAUCAGUUCCUUAGGGAUAGGAGAGAGCAAAUGCAGAUGGAGUGAGAGAGAGACAGAGUUAGUGUAGAGAGUGGAAGAAGAUAUGGUGAUAUUCAUGCUCACAUCCUCGGGUGUUUCUUCCUAACUUCUUUAUUACAAUAUAAAGGAGUAUGGAACAGAGUGAAUGGAAGAUCAAAGAAUGUUUAGUUGGUGGAAUUGUUUACACAGGAAAAAUCAGGAGUAAAAAACAUGUCCUCAAAGGUG
RNAcentral lists this long non-coding RNA (2988 nucleotides) under Mus musculus (house mouse). RNAcentral's name for it is "long non-coding RNA chr1:137913104-137916092". The record is from RNAcentral. Lineage: Eukaryota; Metazoa; Chordata; Mammalia; Rodentia; Muridae.